AUUGAACGCUGGCGGCAGGCCUAACACAUGCAAGUCGAACGGUAACAGGAAGAAGCUUGCUUCUUUGCUGACGAGUGGCGGACGGGUGAGUAAUGUCUGGGAAACUGCCUGAUGGAGGGGGAUAACUACUGGAAACGGUAGCUAAUACCGCAUAACGUCGCAAGACCAAAGAGGGGGACCUUCGGGCCUCUUGCCAUCGGAUGUGCCCAGAUGGGAUUAGCUAGUAGGUGGGGUAACGGCUCACCUAGGCGACGAUCCCUAGCUGGUCUGAGAGGAUGACCAGCCACACUGGAACUGAGACACGGUCCAGACUCCUACGGGAGGCAGCAGUGGGGAAUAUUGCACAAUGGGCGCAAGCCUGAUGCAGCCAUGCCGCGUGUAUGAAGAAGGCCUUCGGGUUGUAAAGUACUUUCAGCGGGGAGGAAGGGAGUAAAGUUAAUACCUUUGCUCAUUGACGUUACCCGCAGAAGAAGCGCCGGCUAACUACGUG
RNAcentral lists this ribosomal RNA (490 nucleotides) under uncultured bacterium. RNAcentral's name for it is "partial 16S ribosomal RNA". It matches the Rfam family "Bacterial small subunit ribosomal RNA", at positions 30 to 507 of the family's 1533-position model. The record is from RNAcentral.